CCUACGGGAGGCAGCAGUAAGGAAUAUUGGUCAAUGGACGCAAGUCUGAACCAGCCAUGCCGCGUGAAGGAUUAAGGUCCUCUGGAUUGUAAACUUCUUUUAUAUGGGACGAAAACAGAUCUUUCUAGGUCCUUUGACGGUACCAUAUGAAUAAGCACCGGCUAACUCCGUGCCAGCAGCCGCGGUAAUACGGAGGGUGCAAGCGUUAUCCGGAUUCACUGGGUUUAAAGGGUGCGUAGGCGGGUAGGUAAGUCAGUGGUGAAAUCCUGGAGCUCAACUCCAGAACUGCCAUUGAUACUAUCUAUCUUGAAUAUUGUGGAGGUAAGCGGAAUAUGUCAUGUAGCGGUGAAAUGCUUAGAUAUGACAUAGAACACCCAUUGCGAAGGCAGCUUACUACGCAUAUAUUGACGCUGAGGCACGAAAGCGUGGGGAUCAAACAGGAUUAGAUACCCUGGUAGUCCACGCCCUAAACGAUGGAUACUCGACAUACGCGAUACACAGUGUGUGUCGUGAGACGAAGACGAUAAGUAUACCGACCCGUACGGUAGUACGUUACGUCGAGAAGUAGAACGUACGAAGAAGUAGACGGACGNGAGACGNGCGACGGACGACGACGAGGGAGGAGG
RNAcentral lists this ribosomal RNA (626 nucleotides) under uncultured bacterium. Its description in RNAcentral is "bacterial SSU rRNA". The stretch from base 1 to 538 matches the Rfam family "Bacterial small subunit ribosomal RNA", at positions 338 to 873 of the family's 1533-position model. The record is from RNAcentral.